Molecule: long non-coding RNA, 403 nt
Filed under: Homo sapiens (human)
Lineage: Eukaryota; Metazoa; Chordata; Mammalia; Primates; Hominidae
Description: non-protein coding lnc-ATP11B-11:1
Source: RNAcentral
CAUCUUCACUAACAAGAGUCACUAACUUGAAUAUUAGGUCAUAUGCUUAUACGAACUUUCAUUAUGUCUAGUAGGCAAACAGUAAAUUGGUAAAAUCACAACAGAUGUGCUUAGAAGACUUCAGAGGAAAGGUACAUCAAAAUUAAUAUUUUAGUCCCUAACAACCUAGUCAUACUUUACAGAAGAGUUGACUAAGGAACCAUGAUUAAUAAACAUAGAAGGAAAAAGAAUAAGAUGAGUAAAAUGUGAUGCCAACUUUUAAGAAACUCUCAGUUCAGUAGAUGUCUCUGACCCUUACAAAAACCUAAAGAAUUAAGUAUUAUUACCCCCAUUUUAAUUGAGGAAACUGAUGUAAGUAGCUUGCUCUAAAUUACAUACAGGGUGAACAAACCAGAAUUUAAUA